This is a long non-coding RNA of Cavia porcellus (domestic guinea pig), 4231 nucleotides long. RefSeq lists it as uncharacterized. NCBI's taxonomy places the organism in Eukaryota, Metazoa, Chordata, Mammalia, Rodentia, Caviidae. The record is from RefSeq and is a predicted model, not a curated record. The transcript has 3 exons.
AACAGAUUCACCUGGAUAUCGCACAAGCUUCUUAAAUUUAACUUUGCCAAAACAGAAAAAAUUUCUCCUCCUGGAUCAACCAACAUAGUUGUCUACUAAUAAUUCUCAGGAGCAGCAGAUUUCACCAUGCAGCUUCAUUGGAAGGCAGGACCAAUUGUGCCAGUGGUUCAGAGGCUCCCUGUGGCUCCUAACGAUCAAAGAGAUCAGAAGUCUUCAAGAUCUAGGGGCCAGUGGGAUUGUUGGCCCAGCCCUUCUCCUCCUCCAAUGAACCAAGGGGCCAGUGGGAUCAUCAGUUGCAACUUCUCCUUGCCCCACUGACCUAGGGGGCCAACAGGAUCACUGGUCUCCCCUCCUGGCCCCACAACCUCGAAGACUGGGGAGACCAUCAGUGACCCUCCCCCCACCCAAAAGACCGCAGCAGCCCACAAAAAAUCAAGGAUCUCUGCCACCACCUGUAGAACCUUGGUGGGCUGGUGGGAGCCUCAGUAACUCCUAACCCACACAGAGGACCUCAACAGGCUUUUGACAAUGUGGUGAGUUUCUCCCUCAAAUAGAGGAUCUCAGUGGGUAAACAGGAGCAGCAAUGAACUCCCCCUGCUCCCCUCAGCUACAGGACCUUGGCAAGUCUGGCAAGAGUGUGGAUGAGUCUUUCUUCCAUGCACCAGGUGGGUUGAGGAGAGUGCCAACAAGGCAUUCCCCAACCCCAAGGAAAUCCAAAGGGCCUACAAGACAUCCGGUGACACAGCAGGGUCCCAGGUGAGGUGUACAUAUAGCCAGGUAGAUAUGACUGCCUGGAACAGCCUGAAGCUGUAGUAACAAUAGGAAUUAAGGGUUGACUUACAUCAUUACUCCACAACUAGUCGGCCUAGGAAGAAUAUAGGACUCACUCAACAGACCCCGAGGAGGAAUUCAGGUGACUGGCCCUUCCUGUCAAUAUGGGACCCAGCAGUUGGACAAACAUUAACCACAUAGUAGGACCCUGAGAUACAAUGACAGUUGAGACUAGUAAGAUUAAAAAGACCAAAUGAUUAACCCAAGAGGUGAAAAUGACAAAACAAUGAAGCAAAAUGCAAUCUCAAACAUCCAGUCCAUCAGGAACAAUUACAGGAGACAUUGAAAUAGAGGACAUUAGAAGUCAUACACCUGAAAUUUCUGAAAAGAUAGCAAAUAAAAUAAAGAAACAAAUCCAUGCAGCUAUAAUGGAAGUCAGAUUACAAAUAAUCUGUCAUGUAAAGAAAGAAAUGACAACAUUAACAAAGGAGUUACUCAUCAUAGUUAGAAAAGACAUAGAUAAAAAAAAGUACAGGAGUAUGAGAAAAUGAUGGAAACCUUGAAUGAACAGUAUAGAAAAGAAGUAGAAUGCAUGAAACAAAUUAAAAAAUAUCCAGGAAGUAAAAAAAUUCUAUUGAAAGCUGGUGGACUGAAUGAAGCUAAGGAUAGAAUUUAGGACCUUGAUGACAGGAUCACAGCUACCAAUCAUGAAAGGAAACAACUUUUAAAAAUAACAAGAUCACAUGAAAUGACAAUUCAACAACUUCAAGAUGAUGCAACAAGAAAUAAUAUGAUUAAUUGUCAAUGAAGAUGCAGGAGUCAAUGCAAAUGACAUUGUUAAUUAUUUGCAGAAGUAAUAACAGAAAAUUUCCCAAAUAUGGGGAAAGAAUCAGAUAUACAGAUAAGUGAGGCAUAUCGGAUGUCAAACAGUCAUAACCAAAAUAAAUCUACACCCAGAUAUAUAAUAAUUACAAAGAAAUCCAACAUAAGAACAGAAUACUAAAAUCUGUUAGAGAAAAGGCACAACUCACCUAUCAAGGAAAACCUAUUAGAAUCACAGCAGACUUCUUAGCACAAACCUUGAAGUCAUGACAAGCUUGGAGUAAAGUAUUUCAAGCCUUGAAAGAAAACAAUUUUCAACCCAGAUUGAUGUAUCCUGCAAAUUUUUCUUUGAAAAAUAAUGGAGAAAUAAGAUACUUCCAUGACAAAGAACAACUGAAGAAAUUCAUGUCCAACAAAACAACCCUAGAAAGAGUACUGAAAGACUUACUAGAUAGAUAUAAAAAUGACUACAAUUUACAGAACAACAACAGAAAGAAAUCACCAGACAGGGCUAGCAGUUAAACAAAGGGGAAAAGCAGGAAACCAUUAACAGGAAAAUAGUAUGACACAGUUGAUCCAGUACUUAUCAGUUACAUCUAUCAAUGUAAAUGGCCUUAAUUCACCAACUAAAAGAAAUAGGUUGACAAAGUGGAUCAGGAAAUAGGAUCCAACAAUAUGCUGUAUACAGGAAGCACAUCUGACUCAAAGGGAAACUCAUAGACUAAAAGUCAAAGGAUGGAAAACAAUAUUCCAUGCAGCAGAAACCCAGAAAAAAGUAGAGGUAUCUAUUCUGUUUGCAUGCAAUGUGAACUUCAAGCCAAAAAUGAUCAAAAGAGAUUAAGAAGGUCACCACAUACUUGUUAGUGGAAGAACUAACAAUCAUAAAUAUAUAUGCACAAAAUACAGGUGCACUGAACUAUAUAAAACAAAUACUAAUGGACAUGAAAAAUACACAAGAACACAAUCAUAAUAGGGGAACUUAAUGCCUCAUUGUCUCAAAGAGAUAGAUCAACUAGACAAAAGGUCAGCAAAAAAAAAAAAAGAAAAAGAAAAAAGAAAAAAAGAAAAACAGAAUUAAAUCAAACCUGUGAACAAAUGGACUUAGUAGACAUUGUCAGAAUGGUUCAUUCAACCACAGCAGAAUACACAUUCUUCUCAGCUGCACAUUCUCUAAAAUAGAUCAUAUAUUACCCCAUAGAACAUUCUUAAGUACAUGCAAAGGGAUUGAAAUUAUCCCAUGCAUGUUAUCUGACCAUAGGCAAUGAAAUUGGAAAUCAAUGGCAAAAGAAUCUGUAAAACCUACACAAACACAUAGAAACUAAAUAACAAUAUCCUGAAUAACCAAUGGAUGACAGGUGAAAUUAAAGAAGAAAUUAAACAAUACCUACAAUUCUCUGAAAAUGCAGAUACAACAUACUGAAUCCUGUGGUAAAAAAUAAAAGCAGUCCUAAGAGGGAAAUAUAUAACAAUGAAUUGUCACAUCAGGAAAACAGAAUGAGUCCAAAGAAACAACCUAAUGCUACACCUCAAGCUUCUAGAAAAAGAAGAACAAGUCAACCCCAAAGCUCAUAGAAGAGAGGAAAUUAUAAAGAUCAGAGCAGAAAUUAAUGCAAUUGAGACUAAGAAAACAAUACAAAAACUAAUGAAUCAAAGGGCUGGUUUGUUGAGAGAUUAAACAAAAUUGAUAAACCUCUAGCCAACCUUAUCAAGAAAAAGAAAGAAAAAGCUCAAAUUCAUGCAAUAAGGACUGAAAAGGGGGAAGUUACUACAGGUCCCGUGGAAAUUCAGAAGAUCAUGAAUACCUACUUUGAAAAAUCUUCACUCGUAUAGGUUAGAAAACACAGAGGAAGUGGACAGAUUGCUAGAAAUGUAGGAAUUACUAAAGCUGAAUCAAGAAGAUAUAGCAAUUUUGAUAACCCAUUGUCAGUUACUGAAAUGUGAUUAAAAAUUUACCAAUAAAGAAAAGCCAAGGACCUGAUGGAUUCAUGGCUGAAUUCUAUAUGAAAUUUAGAGAAGAUUUAAUGCAAAUAUGCCUCAAACUUUACAAUAAAAUUGAAAGGGAAGCAAUUCUUCCUAACUCAUUCUUGGAGGUAAGUAUAACUCUGAUACCUAAACCAGAGAAAGACUCAACUAAAAUGGAGAGCUAUAGGCUAAUCUUCCUAAUGAAUAUCAAUGCAAAAAUUCUCAAUAAAAUGCUAGCAAAUAUAAUGCAUCAAAUCAUCAAGAAGACUAUACAUCAUGACCAGGUGGGAUUUAUCUCAAGAAUAUAGGGAUAGUUUAACAUAUACAAAUCAAUAAAUGUAAUAUACCAUAUCAACAGAGCCAAAGACAAAAAUCACAUGAUCAUCUCAACAGAUGAAUAAAAAGCUUUUGAUAAAGUUUAACACUUGUUCAUGAUAAAAACCCUACAGAAACUUGGAAUAGAUGGCAUCUACCUUAAUUUUAUAAAGCCAUCUAUAACAAACCAACAGCUAACAUUAUGCUAAAUGGACAAAAACUGAAAGCUUGCACUCUAAAAUCAGGAACAAGACAAAGAUGACAAAGAUGACCACUACCACCACUCCUAUUCAAUAUAGUUCUGGAACCAUUAGCCAGAGAAAUUAGAUUAGAGAGAGAGAUAUAAAAACUAAGAAUAGGA